AACGCAUAUUGCGCCCGAGGGUUCGCCCGAGGGCAUGUCUGGCUCAGCGUCGAUGUAUCCCUCAUCAAUUCUUUUGAUUGUAUUUACUUAUGAUCAAUCGAAUGGAUGGACCUGACCUUCCCGGCUUCUUUUUUUAAUUGAAGCCGAGUGGGUUGAAGUAUAGAGGCGAAUCAAGGACCUUUAAAAGGGCCGCAUCUAGGUAGGUUGCAUCACUGCUUCUUAUUAUUUAGGUGUUGGCCUGGUUGUUGAUUAUUGAGCCCUCAAUCAAAGGAACUUAUUCAGUUAAGUUAAUUUUUACAUCUUCGACCUGAGCUCAGUCAAGAACACCCGCUGAACUUAA
This 340-nucleotide unclassified non-coding RNA is filed under the name uncultured fungus. Its description in RNAcentral is "partial contains 5.8S rRNA and ITS2". The record is from RNAcentral. Lineage: Eukaryota; Fungi.